AAUACAGAGGUCCCAAGCGUUGUUCGGAUUCACUGGGCGUAAAGGGUGCGUAGGCGGCCGGGUAAGUCUGUUGUGAAAUCCCGCAGCUCAACUGCGGAACUGCAGUGGAUACUAUCCGGCUCGAGGAAUGGAGGGGAGACUGGAAUUCUCGGUGUAGCAGUGAAAUGCGUAGAUAUCGAGAGGAACACCAGUGGCGAAGGCGAGUCUCUGGACAUUUCCUGACGCUGAGGCACGAAAGCCAGGGGAGCAAACG
This 253-nucleotide ribosomal RNA is filed under the name uncultured prokaryote. Its description in RNAcentral is "partial 16S ribosomal RNA". It matches the Rfam family "Bacterial small subunit ribosomal RNA", at positions 522 to 774 of the family's 1533-position model. The record is from RNAcentral.